Molecule: non-coding RNA, 26 nt
Filed under: Cricetulus griseus (Chinese hamster)
Lineage: Eukaryota; Metazoa; Chordata; Mammalia; Rodentia; Cricetidae
Source: RNAcentral
UCUGCAUGAUGUCUAUUCUGACCAGC